GUUCCUUCGAUGGAUUCCUGGUCGAGACGUGGGGGAGGCGGAGGGGCGAUUGUAUCCGUGAAUCGCUUGAAAAUAAUGUGGUUGGGGAAGACCGACGAGCUAUCUACGGGUUCUUGGAAAGAUCCACGAGGAAACUAUUCGGAGCCACUGCAAUUUCGUGUUCACGACGUGCGCGAUUCUAUCCAGUGAGAUGUUGGCGAUUGUUGAAGGCAUACAUAUGUUCCGCAAGCGAAUAAAGAAUAGACACCCUGAUUAAGGAUCCAGGUAGCAGACGAGCACCUACCAGGAAGUGUCCGGGAAUUGGGAUCACGAAGACGACGCGAAGUGACUGACAGAAACGGUCAUUGUCGGCCAGAAAAUCGCCGGCUAAAUGGAUCUCCGUGACAGAUAACCGCGUGCACGCCAAUCGCGCAUUUUCUCGCGUCGCGGGGUUUCGUUUCGCGAUCAUUCGUGGCAGUGUUUCUUCAAGUCAUUUUGCUAGGACGCGAAAGAGUUAUCGAAAUAAAUUUUAUUUGACGAGAGUAUUUAAGUUUCGUCCCUACAACUAACCGUGACGAACAAAAUAAACACAUGACAAACCUUGACAUUGCACGAGGACAGACUCACAUAUUAUAAUAAUAACAUAUCUUUAAAUAUCGAUGAGAGCAUUUUGUAAUUAAUCAUUCGCAAAAAGCACACACAAGCUACUGAAUGUACAAUGUAUAUAUGAUAUUUGUUGAAGGCAAACGUCACAUUUGGUCUCACAUUGCAUAACAUCAUGUCCAUUUAUUGUUAUUAAAUUUAUCGAAUACACAUAAAUUUAAUGAAUUUUGCGUAAAUACAGAUGUGUAGAGUUGACACAAAAAUAUAAUCGAUCGUUCGCGCGGCGCGCGCGUGUGUGCGUGUGUGUAUGUGUGUGUGUAUGACUAACGUGCGUACGAGCGUCAGUCUAUCUCGUCUCGCCUACGCACUCAUCUUCGACCGGUCGUCAAGCGAGAGAUAAAGGAAAAAGGGCGAAUAUAUAUAUAUAUAUAAAAAAAAAUAAAGGAUGACGAGAAAAGGGGGACGACGCCUGUGUGUCGAUAAUGCGCGCGUGAUUACGCAAACGCAAUGACGGCAUUUGUGUUGCAACCCGAGAUGACAUCCGGUGUCAAGGUAAACCGCGCACGAACGAGCGAUCGGAGUUUCUUCGAGAUUAUUUCUCUCGAUUGCGAGAAAAGAUCCAAAUAGAAUUUUUUAGACUCUAUUUUAAUCGUGCGUCUUCCCGACGUUUUUACGAAUACGAGUGUGAAAAUGAAUGACAAAGUGGUCUCGCGAUGAUAAUUGGAUAGAGACAAAAAAAAAAAGAAAGAAAAA
This is a long non-coding RNA of Cataglyphis hispanica, 1335 nucleotides long. RefSeq lists it as uncharacterized. NCBI's taxonomy places the organism in Eukaryota, Metazoa, Arthropoda, Insecta, Hymenoptera, Formicidae. The transcript is spliced from 2 exons. The record is from RefSeq and is a predicted model, not a curated record.